AAUGUGUAUCCCCUUUGGGGCUUUACCAAGUGAGUUGACUGAGGAGUGAAGUGCUUCUGAACAUAACCUGCGGCCUGAAACACGGAGCGGGGGUGUCCCCUUGUCCUCCAGAAAUGGCACCUCUUUUCCCUUUGCUCUUGCUUCUCUCUUUCUUUUGCAUUUCUUGCCUUUCAGACCUCCGGAAAUUUUGUAGGCUAAACCACCCACAUAUAACCAGCAUACUUGAGUCUACAGUGGUACCUCUGGUUGCGAACGGGAUCCGCUCCGGAGGCCCGUUCGCAACAUGAAAAGAGCGUAGCCCGCAGUGGCGCCGUCUGCGCAUGUGUGGGUUGCGACUCGCCGCUUCUGCACAUGCGCGAGCAGCGAAACCUGGAAGUAACCCUUUUUGGUACUUCCGGGUCGCCACGGGACGUAACCUGAAAGAACGUAACAUGAAGCGGACGUAACAUGAGGUAUGACUGUAAUUAAAGCAUGGAAGGGUUUAUGCCAUAGAGCAGAGGUCAGCAAACUUUUUCAGCAGGGGGCCGCUCCACUGUCCCUCAGACUAUAUUUUGGAAAAAAAAUAAAUGAACGAAUUCCGAUGCCCCACAUAUAACCCAGAGAUGCAUUUUAAAUAAAAGCACACAUUCUACUCAUGUAACAACACACUGAUUCCCAGACCGUCUGCGGGCUGGAUUUAGAAGGCGCUUGGGCCAGAUCCGGCCCCCGGGCCUUAGUUUGCCUACCCAUGCCAUAGAGUAAGUUGCCCUGCCUGUCACUUCCCCUCACCUUGGGAAGAAAUAGGUAACUAAACCUUUGUUCCCUCAGUCUACAUGUGAACUAUGGUGCAUGAGGAGCCCGAGCUGCUCUCUCCAGCUUCAUGGCUUUAACCAGCCUCUUCUGUUUAAGGCAAGAAUGGAGUCUGAAACUAUUGUUUUCCUAUUAGGAACUUUUACCAUUUUGUAAUCAAGCAUCAUUUCACUGCCUGUGUACCUUUUCUGACGGCUGCAUGGAAAAGCACAUGAAUCUGACCUUUGGAGAAUUUGUAAGUAAACCAUUUUUUAAAACUUACCAAACAUGUGGUCUAUUUGUAUGCUAGGGAAAUAGGAAACUCUGGGAGGAGAUUUUAAAGUGGGAUACUUUGGAAUUCACUGGAAAUGGCCCAUGUUAAAGUUUAACAGUCUAUAUUCCCACACUUUGCUUUGCUGCAUGUUUUUUCAUGUUAAAUCUUUGCUGAGGUUCUCUCACGAAAGAGUACUUGCCUGAAACUUGGUUCUUGGCUUCUAAAGAUUUCAACAAAUUUAACACUGGAACUUUCUCAAAUUAUCACCGCAACCGCCUCAUUGCUAAAAAUGAGGCUCUAUUGAAAGGAGCGCAGCAACGCUCCCCAGGAAUCACGCUCAUAAUUCAGCGAACAGAUUUCUUUUCAAAUGUUUGUCAUGCUAACAUGAUUUCAUUUCGGGAAGAAUGGCAAAUGUUAUUAAAAGUCAAUGAAGCAAAUGGAAGAUGGGGAUCGUUGAGCGAAAGACUGAUAAAAUCUGGCGGCCAAUUAUGUGGCAUUUCUUGUCUUGGUUAUGCUAAUUCUACACGUUUUAUCAUAUUUAUGACUUUUAAAAUGUGCAUUGCUAAAAAUUAAUCUUUUUGUGCUUUAGGCGCACUAGUCUGUGCUCACCCAAGGUUGUGAAGUAGCUUUCUGGAACUUGUGCAGUAGUUAGAAAGUUGAGGCUUGCGUACAUCAACGGUAUAAGACCUCUUGUUGGCCAAGAAAGUCUGAAAAUAGCCUACUUACCUUCAUAACCGUGGCUUCAGAGAGGAACCAAGCUACUCACAUGAUGGGACAAAGACCAUGGAGGUAUGUCCAUCUUGCUAAAGCAACCUCUGACUGAGGGCCUCAUUUCUGGAACAUGUCAGAAAUGUAAGCUGAUACUUGUCCACCUGUCAGGGACCGUGCUGAGGAGGGCUGCACUGAGGAGGAAUGGUGGAAGCCCCCCCCCCGAUCCUGAAUCUUCCCAGGAGCAGGAGGACAGUAUAGAUUUGGAACAGCGGUUUGCAGAGGGAUAUAGUUCAGAAGGCAGAAGCUGGGGAAUACUGGAUGGGGAACAGCUAGGAGAAGAAGCACUGGAAGAGAGAGAGUUAACAGAUUCUCAAUCUCUGAACAGCAUUCCUCUGCUCUCCCCCAAGGUCAAGAAGAGUUCAGAAAAUGUCAGAACAGAAAGCACAGAGGGGACAACCUCAGAUUACAAAAUGUAGGAGGGACGUGGAUUAAUAGGGAUGGAAGAGGGUGUAAUCCUUAAUUGGGAGCACCCCCAUUUCUAGGAAAUGUGUUCUUUUGUCUCUCGCUGUGAUUAUUAAAGAAUCUAACUAGUAAGAUGUUCCUUUUGUUUCAUCUUAUUUACAGCCACGGGGGAGGAAACUGAUUCCCCGAAGCCUGACACCACCUUACAUGUGGCUAUGAAGUCUGAAGUUGCUUGAGCUCUCUCAUAGGUCAUGGACUCAGGUUGCUGUUAUGCUGAGUCAUCCUGAGCAAUGCACUCAGGCUAUACCUGGCUUGAUCCGUAGGAAACAACCUUAUUACUGAGUCCCUCCAGCUCAGGACUGUUUACACUGACAGAGCAGUUGCUCUCAAGGGUUUCAGACAGGGGUCUUUUGCAACCCUACCUAGAGAUGCCCAGGACG
Molecule: non-coding RNA, 2655 nt
Organism: Podarcis lilfordi (Lilford's wall lizard)
Lineage: Eukaryota; Metazoa; Chordata; Lepidosauria; Squamata; Lacertidae
Source: the annotation of a GenBank genome assembly